CCUACGGGUGGCUGCAGUGGGGAAUAUUGCACAAUGGGGGAAACCCUGAUGCAGCAACGCCGCGUGAGUGAAGAAGGCCUUCGGAUUGUAAAGCUCUGUUAGCAGGGAAGAGGAAGGACGGUACCUGCAGCGGCAGCCACGGCUAACUACGUGCCAGCAGCUGCGGCAAUACGUAGGUGGCAGGAGUUGUUCGGAAUACCUGGGCGUAAAGGAUGUGUAGGCGGUUAAACAAGUUAAGGGUUAAAUAUAUAGGCUUAACCUGUAGAAAGCAUUUGAAACUGUUGUACUAGAGUGCAGGAGAGGUAAGUGGAAUGCGUGGUGUAGCGGUGAAAUGCAUAGAGAUUAGGAAGAACACCGAUGGCGAAGGCGACUUACUGGACUGCAACUGACGCUGAGGCAUGAGAGCGUGGGGAGCAAACAGGAUUAGAUACCCUGGUAGUC
Molecule: ribosomal RNA, 441 nt
Filed under: uncultured bacterium
Lineage: Bacteria
Description: partial 16S ribosomal RNA
Rfam family: Bacterial small subunit ribosomal RNA
Source: RNAcentral